CCUACGGGAGGCAGCAGUGAGGAAUAUUGGUCAAUGGUCGGAAGACUGAACCAGCCAAGUCGCGUGAGGGAAGAAGGUACUGUGGAUUGUAAACUUCUUUUGUAGGGGAAUAAAGGUAUGCACGUGUGCACCUUUGCAUGUACCCUAUGAAUAAGCAUCGGCUAACUCCGUGCCAGCAGCCGCUGUAAUACGGAGGAUGCGAGCGUUAUCCGGAUUUAUUGGGUUUAAAGGGUGCGUAGGCGGUUUUUUAAGUCAGCGGUGAAAGUUUGUGGCUCAACCCCAAAAUUGCCGUUGAAACUGGAAGACUUGAGUGGGUUUGAGGUAGGCGGAAUGCGUGGUGUAGCGGUGAAAUGCAUAGAUAUCACGCAGAACUCCGAUUGCGAAGGCAGCUUACUAAGCCAAAACUGACACUGAGGCACGAAAGCGUGGGUAUCAAACAGGAUUAGAUACCCCAGUAGUC
This 460-nucleotide ribosomal RNA is filed under the name uncultured bacterium. RNAcentral's name for it is "partial 16S ribosomal RNA". It matches the Rfam family "Bacterial small subunit ribosomal RNA", at positions 338 to 795 of the family's 1533-position model. The record is from RNAcentral.